RNAcentral lists this ribosomal RNA (301 nucleotides) under uncultured bacterium. Its description in RNAcentral is "partial 16S ribosomal RNA". It matches the Rfam family "Bacterial small subunit ribosomal RNA", at positions 509 to 809 of the family's 1533-position model. The record is from RNAcentral.
CAGCCCGCGGGAAUACGUAGGGUGCAAGCGUUAAUCGGAAUUACUGGGCGUAAAGCGUGCGCAGGCGGUUCCGCAAGUCAGAUGUGAAAUCCCCGGGCUCAACCUGGGAACUACAUUUGAAACUACGGGGCUAGAGUGUGUCAGAGGGGGGUGGAAUUCCACGUGUAGCAGUGGAAUGCGUAGAGAUGUGGAGGAACACCAAUGGCGAAGGCAGCCCCCUGGGAUGACACUGACGCCCAUGCACGAAAGCGUGGGGAGCAAACAGGAUUAGAUACCCGAGUAGUCCCUGUCUCUUAUACAC